RNAcentral lists this ribosomal RNA (497 nucleotides) under uncultured bacterium. RNAcentral's name for it is "partial 16S ribosomal RNA". It matches the Rfam family "Bacterial small subunit ribosomal RNA", at positions 28 to 507 of the family's 1533-position model. The record is from RNAcentral.
GACGAACGCUGGCGGCGUGCCUAAUACAUGCAAGUAGAACGCUGAAGCUUGGUGCUUGCCCCGAGCGGAUGAGUUGCGAACGGGUGAGUAACGCGUAGGUAACCUGCCUGGUAGCGGGGGAUAACUAUUGGAAACGAUAGCUAAUACCGCAUAACAGUAGAUAUCGCAUGAUAGCUACUUGAAAGGUGCAAAUGCACCACUACCAGAUGGACCUGCGUUGUAUUAGCUAGUUGGUGAGGUAACGGCUCACCAAGGCAACGAUACAUAGCCGACCUGAGAGGGUGAUCGGCCACACUGGGACUGAGACACGGCCCAGACUCCUACGGGAGGCAGCAGUAGGGAAUCUUCGGCAAUGGACGGAAGUCUGACCGAGCAACGCCGCGUGAGUGAAGAAGGUUUUCGGAUCGUAAAGCUCUGUUGUAAGAGAAGAACGAGUGUGAGAGUGGAAAGUUCACACUGUGACGGUAGCUUACCAGAAAGGGACGGCUAACUACGUG